Molecule: long non-coding RNA, 5312 nt
Filed under: Musa acuminata (dwarf banana)
Lineage: Eukaryota; Viridiplantae; Streptophyta; Magnoliopsida; Zingiberales; Musaceae
Description: long non-coding RNA (MACU_LNC005830)
Source: RNAcentral
GAUCCGAAAUCGCCCCGUUCCACCUCUCAGAUCAGGUUCGUGUCGUCUUCUGCUGCUGGAAAACCACCUCAACGAUCGUUUCCCGGCCCCAUGACUCCAGAUUCGCCUUCGCCGAUCCAAGUCGUUUCGACGUUCGCGUCGCCGUUCGAUGAGUCUCCCCCGCACAUCGACGCGAGCUCGUCGAUCAGGAAGCCGCUUAGCUUGUGGCCGGGGAUGUACCACUCCCCGGUGACCAAUGCUCUCUGGGAAGCGCGUUCGAGCAUCUUUGAGAGGCUUCUUGACCCUUCCAAGGAAGGGCCGCCGCAGUCGGAGUUGCUGACGAGGACGCCAUCACAGAGCAGGACGAACAUCAUCUACAACUUUUCGAGUGAUUACAUCCUGAGGGAGCAGUACCGAGAUCCAUGGAAUGAGGUCAGGAUCGGGAAGUUGCUUGAGGAUCUCGACGCACUUGCCGGCACCAUUUCUGUGAAGGUAGCCACUAGACUCGAGUCUCUAUGGAUAUCUGGUUAUCCUCUAUACUUGAAAUGAAGCUUGACAUCGAUAAGAAGAAUACCAAGUGUAUCCAUUGCCCCAUCUAAGUUUCACUUGAGGUUUGGGUACUUUGUCAUCAGCAGAAUUAACUUUUUCUUAGUGUUUAGAAACUAUUAUGAUGUUUCAUGGUAAAAUGGAUAAAUAAACCAUAGACAGACUUUUAUAUUUGUUCAUUGGCAGGCAAAAUCGUUAUCGAUUCAGUUUCUUUCUGUGAGUAGAAACCAGAAAACACUUGGAAAUACAUUAUUAGUGUUUGCUUCCAUCUUUUUUGCUUCAUGGUAAAAUGGCUAAUCCUUUUUUGCUUCCAACUUCCAAGUAAAUGAAGCUACACAAAACACUUAGAAAUGCAUUAUAAGUCCUACUUUGAUGGUUAACUCACCCAUUACGAUGUGUCAUGAUAUUAGACAAACGCUGCUGUGAGAGUUGCUAGUUACAAGGAUUGUUGUAUAAUUGUCAUUUCAAGUCUACCUUUCAGUAUGAUGGAAUUUUAUAUAGUAAAGGAAUAUAAUUUACUGUAUCUCUUUCUGUAAUCCUGGUGUGGUUGAGGAAAUUUUAUGGAAAACUAUAUGGCUUGCUGUGUAACAAUUCAGAAUGCAACAUUUGAUUAAAGAGCUUUGUAAAUUAAACAAGAUCUUCCGAUGUGCUUCUUGGAUAUAGAAUUGUUAUACUAUUAUUUACAUCAUGCCAAACUUGUUGGUCAUUUCUGUGAAGUUUUUGAAAGUUUGAUUUUAUCUGAAACAAUGCAUUUAUAUGUAAGUUUUUGAAGUGCAUUUGUUGCAUGUGGCCAGCACUGCUCUGAUGAUGACAGCACCACAAGGCCCCUCUUGUUGGUCACUGCCUCGGUAGAUAAGAUGGUUCUAAAGAAGCCAUUGCGUGUAGACACUGACCUAAAGAUAGCAGGUGCCGUCACAUGGGCUGGUCGAUCAUCCAUUGAGAUACAGAUUGAAGUUACCCAGACUCAUCAACAAGGUAUUUGGAAUGAUUCUGUUUGAUAAGCAAAUGGAAAUAUACAUUUGUAGUCUCAUUUCUUUAUGGGCAUUUAUUGGUCUUGUAGUAUGUCCUCUAGUAAUUGUAUGGGAAUAUAUAUAAUUAGGGAGGCUCAUCGCUAGCCAUAAUCAUGAACUCCUCACUUUUUUUUGUUCACUAUCUGAAGUUACAAACUCCGGCAAUUAUCUGUCCACGAGUUCCCAUAUCUUUAUAAUGAUAGACCCAGUAGCUUGCUGCCCAUUUCCAGUGCAGUCUGAAAAACAAAAAUUUAUAAUCUCGUAUCUCAUGAGUACUUAUUUGCUUAAAACUUUGUUCUUCAAAUUUAUGCAGGUAUCAAGCAUGUUUAGUGCACUAAAUCACCCUGCCUUUCCUCUGCUGACUUUCAUUAUGGUGCACUGUGCAGCAGAUAACUCUGAAUCAUCAGAUCCAUCGGCUUUGACAGCAACUUUCAUAUUCGUUGCACGGGACUCGAAGACUGGAAAGUCAGCUCCUGUAAACCGCCUUUUACCGGAAACUGAACAAGAAAAGUUGCUCUUUAAAGAAGCAGAAGCAAGGGAUAAAAUUCGAAAAGGCAAACGAGAGGAACAGAAAAGAACUUUUGAGAAUGGUGGGCAUAGUUUACAUGGUGAUAUAAAGAGGCUAAAGACAUUGUUGGCAGAGGGGCGUGUGUUCUGUGAUUUGCCUGCAUUAGCAGCUAGAGACAGCAUUCUGAUAAGGGAUACCAAACUUGAGAAUUCACUGAUCUGCCAACCUCAACAAAGGAAUCUCCAUGGUCGUAUUUUUGGCGGGUUUCUGAUGAACCUAGCAUUUGAACUUGCAUUUUCGACUGCUUAUGCAUUUGUUGGGCAGAUGCCAUGCUUUCUUGAAGUGGAUCAUGUUGAUUUCUUAAAACCUGUGAGUAGCAAGUCUUACAUCUUUACUGAAUCUGAUAUUUUUUCUUUGUGUACGUUAUCAAACUUUUUUCCCUUUCACUUCAACAUAACCAAGGAACAUCUCACUCACGAUGGAUGUAUACAGUGAAUCUUAUACCUGUUAUCUGUCUAAUAUUUGAGCACUCGACACUAGCUGUAUGUGUAUGCAUGACACUAUAUGUAUACAUAGAUCAAAAUUUUGCUACACUGGAAAUGACAUGUUCAUAGCAUAAUCAUUUAUUACACUUACUCAGGUUGACGUGGGGGACUUCCUUCGACUUAAAUCUUGUGUUCUUUAUACACAACUAGAGAACCCAGCACAGCCUCUGAUCAACGUUGAAGUUGUUGCUCAUGUAACGAGACCUGAGCUUCGAACCAGUGAGGUAAGACAAUCGAAGAAGCAUGUGAUUUGUAGUAUUCAAUUGCAACUUGAAUUCAUGAGUAGCGUCACCUUGUCUGUGUGCCUGAUGCAGAUAUCAAACAUGUUCUACUUCACUUUUACUGUAAAUCCUGAUGCCCUAAAGAAUGGACUAAAGAUUCGCAAUGUAGUUCCUGCCACAGAAGAAGAAGCCCGUCGUGUACUUGAGCGAAUGGAUGCGGAGGAAAUAUUUGCUUAACUAUAUACAUAGGCAUGUGCCAUUUGAAUGGCCAGACUGUCUUCUGCCAGUUCACAUCCAUAUAAUUUAUGCAAUAAGAUUGAACACCAUUUAGGAAUGUCACUGUCUUUACAUAAUUCGACAGCAACUUAUAAGGCUUUGUUACGUAUAAACAUUUUUGCCGCAACUUUUUUCCGAAUAAAAUUUGUAAAAGCAAGGAAGUAGUUUCUGAAAUCAAGUUUAAUUACCCCUUGUUUCCUGUUGGCAAACUUGUUUGCUGUGACCUAUGGGAUGCAAGAUUCAAGGAAAAUUAAUCGCCUCAUUCUCAGUAUUAUUUAUCAAUGUAUUUGGUGUUGUUUAUUGUUCUUUGUGUGUCAUGAUUCUUCUUUUAGUGUUUUGUAAAUGAGAAAUCUAUCAAUUAGGAGAUCUGCAGCUGCUGCUUCUGCUGCCAAUUAGAGGGGGUAUGACUCCUAUUUUCAGCAUUGGUGAGAAUCUCUGCUGCUAUGUAGCCUACCAGAUGCUCUAGUCUUAACUGAUAGUUAACAGAUAUCAUGUCACCCCAUAAAAAUAUUCACAGUAUAUCAUUCAAGAUCAUGUAAAAGACUAAUAAAUAAACUUAGUAAAUCUGGAUGUUAUUGAAGUUAAUCAUCAUAUUUCACCUGUCUGAAGCUAUAAAAAAGUUCUACAUCUCAUUCACUGCAGAAUUGUAGAUGCAUAAUUAUAGUAACAUCUUAUUUAAAAUCCUUAAGGGACAAAGUGUUAGGAUUCAAUAAGAAUACAUACAAUGAAUCUAUUUGCACAUUAAUUUCUGUUAGUACUGUGUGUAUACCUCAUUAAAAGUAAGCUCUGAAGAACAGAUUCUCAAAACUCAGUGAAGCCACUCUUUAUUUUUCUAGAUACAGAUCGGAGCAAAAUAGUUUUGUAUCAAAACGUCAACCCCUUGAGCGGAGAAAUAUAAUAUCUUGAUUUAGUCUGAAAUGUGGGUAAAGAAUUAGACUGAUUCAUCGGUGCAUUACUGUUAGCAUGAGUUUAAACAUUUUACACCAAUAAUCUAAAAAUAAAUUAAUAAUCAUUAUUAUUGUAAUUGAAUCAAGUUGCUAAUUAAGCAAACAAGAUGAGCUAACAAUGGCUUGGCAGGAUGUUCUAAGCUUCCAAUUAGAAUGGCAAUGGUUUGGUUUAGCCAAAUAGUAAACAAAUGGAAAAGGUUAAUCUUCUUCAAACAAAGUCAAAGUCAAAGUCCAACUAAGUGGGUGUGUUUAAAUUAUUAUUUUUAUCAAUUUUAAAGACCUCAACAAAUUUAAUUGAUCAAUGUUUUAACAUGAAUUUCAUCUUUAUCAUUUAUUCUUUAUAAAUAAUAAUAAAAAUUUUUAACUUGAUGAAUCAUAUCGUGAAGAUUCUUUUAAGGUAAAUUAAUUGAUCAAAUGAAACCAUACAUAAUGAAAGCAAAUAUAUGUUAAUGGUGAAAGCAUAAUGUUGGCAAAUCUUAAAUGUUUGAAUGGAGCAAGUAAUAAAUUAAAAGCUAAUUUGGCCAAUAAUCAUAAAACUACAACAUUUGGGUGUUGCAAUCUUCUUCGCCAACCAACCAUUACUUGUCCUAACUUUGCUCAAUGGUUGGUUCCACAGUUGUCUCCUAUUCCUCCCACUGCACGAUGUAACCUUCCCUCUCACCUCCUCAUCUCUCUCACCACAGUUUUCUUCACCCAAAGCAAACCCUCAGCCUCACAUCACUCUCACUUUCCAUCUUCAACUCAACAUCCUCCGAAUCCCUCACCCAUUCUUCCAUUAUCCCCAUCCAAAGUCUUCCCCAAAUCCCCCUUUUCACCCCCAAUUCUUCACCAAGAUCGGAUCUUUCUGCCCCCAAACCGCUCUGUUCUUCCUCCCAAUCCGAAUUCUUGUCUGCGACAAUUGAUCCCGAGAUGGCGUCUUUUCAAUCCGAAUGCAGCGAGACCAGCUCGAGCUCUUGAAAGAUCGAAUCUUUUCGAUCCGAAAUCGCCCCGUUCCACCUCUCAAAUCAGGUUCAUGUCGUCUUCUGCUGCCGGAAAACCGCCUCAAGGAUCGUCUCCCGCCGCCAUUAGUCCAGAUUCGCCUUCGCCGAUCCAAGUCGUUUCGACGUUCGCAUUGCCGUUCGAUGAGUCUCCCGCCUCACAUCGAUGCGAGCUCGUCGAUCAGGAAGCCGCUUAGCUUGUGGUCGGGACUGUACCAUUCCCCGGUGACCAAUGCUCUCUGGGAGGCGCGUUCCGAGGACGGGGCGCAGUCGGAGUUGCUCACGAGGCCACCACCAUAGAGC